This 253-nucleotide ribosomal RNA is filed under the name uncultured bacterium. Its description in RNAcentral is "partial 16S ribosomal RNA". It matches the Rfam family "Archaeal small subunit ribosomal RNA", at positions 474 to 727 of the family's 1478-position model. The record is from RNAcentral.
UACCGGCACCCCGAGUGGUCGGGGCGAUUAUUGGGCCUAAAGCAUCCGUAGCCGGUUCUACAAGUCUUCCGUUAAAUCCACCUGCUUAACAGAUGGGCUGCGGAGGAUACUAUGGAGCUAGGAGGCGGGAGAGGCAAGCGGUACUUAGUGGGUAGGGGUAAAAUCCGUUGAUCCAUUGAAGACCACCAGUGGCGAAGGCGGCUUGCCAGAACGCACUCGACGGUGAGGGAUGAAAGCUGGGGGAGCAAACCGG